AACGAACGCUGGCGGCAUGCCUAACACAUGCAAGUCGAACGAGACCUCCGGGUCUAGUGGCGCACGUGUGCGUAACGCGUGGUAACCUGCCCUUAGGUUCGGAAUACCUCCCCGAAAGGGGUGCUAAUACCGGUUAAUGUCUUCGCACCAAAGAUUUAUCGCCAUUGGAUGGGCGCGCGUUAGAUUCGCUAGUUGGUAGUGUAAAAGCGUGCCAAGGCGACGAUGCAUAGCUGGUCUGAGAGGAGGAUAAGCUACACUGGGACUGAGACACGGCCCAGACUCGUACGGGAGGCAGGAGAAGGGAAUAUUGGACGAGGAGCGAAAGUCUGAUAAAGCAAUGUCGCGUGAGUGAUGAAGGCCGUAGGGUUGUAAAGCUCUUUUACCCGGGAUGAUAAUGACAGUACCGGGAGAAUAAGCACCGGCUAACUCCGUG
RNAcentral lists this ribosomal RNA (433 nucleotides) under uncultured bacterium. Its description in RNAcentral is "partial 16S ribosomal RNA". It matches the Rfam family "Bacterial small subunit ribosomal RNA", at positions 29 to 507 of the family's 1533-position model. The record is from RNAcentral.